UUUUGGAAACAGGGUCUAGCUACAUAUCCCAGGAUGACCUUAAACUCAUAUUCCUCCUGCUUGAGACUUUCCAGUGUUGGGCUGAGAGAUGUUCACGGCCACACCCUGUUCUAUAUGCAUUUUGAACUGUGCUCAUGUUAGCAAGAAGCCACAGUUCACUUGUGCUACUUUCUUAGAUAUGGUCCAGUGAAUUGUGACGGCUUUAUUAUGACAGAUUUAUUUAUUUGUUUGUUUGUUUUUUGAAGUAGAAGCUCAUGUAGUCCAGACUGGCCUCAAACUUGUUACAUAGCCAAGGAUGACUGAACUUCUGACCCUCUUGGCACCCACUUCCGAGUGCUGGGAUUCCAGGCAUGCACUGCCACACCUAGUGCUAAGGAUCAAGCCCAGCUCUUCAUGCAUGCUGGGCAAGCACUCUACCAAGCACACUAUGUUUGCCAGCCUCACGUUCUGACUACAUUGUAAAUUGCUUCAUUUCAAACAAGAGGGAAAAAAGGUCUCUCAGUACCGCCAAGUUCUUGGAAUUUAUCCAAUAGAAAAUGUGCCCGUUGUCCCCUCCUCCCCCAUGUGACCAUGCCCUCCUAGGAAGUGAGCUACAACAGCUUUGGCUACAACCCAGACACAACUCUGGCCAGACCAGUGGCACCAUCAGCGACCACACUGCCCCAGCCUAGAGACAGGAGUAACCCUUGUUCACAGCAUUAGUCUUCCUGGGCAGCCUGGGGUCCUGUUUCCCAUCCACCUUCUCCUGGGGCCAUUUUGGAUGGGUAGGUCAAUUUGGCUAUUGACCGAUCUAAAGCAUUCACCCUUGGUGGUCCCCAGUCAUGUUCCUUUACCUUCACAGAGCGUUCUAACUGGAACUCACUGCCUGCCAGUCUUUGCCUUCGUGCUCUUCUCUUUUGCUCUCCAUGCAUCCCUGACCUGGGUCCUCAAUAGUCCAUCCCCCAUUGAGCCUAAUGGGUUCCUGGUCAAGCCUACCUUCCCUCACCCUCUUUAGGAUUUUUCUAAGAGUCCUGUAUAUAAAGUAUUGUCAUAAUUAUCCCUGAUUAAUAUUUUUGCACCUAAUAAAGUCUCAGGGCCUGGGCUGGGGAGGCUCACCUUCCAGAUGGCUUCUCCAGCAAUUAAAGUGACUUGUUAGUUGGAGGCCCGGGAUGGCUGAGGACAGCUGGAGAGCUGUCCUUUGCAAGCAGCUCUGGUUAACAUCAACCAGGAAAGCUCUCUGUAAACACAUGAAUAAUUGAUUGUGCAGUGCUCACAUAGCUACUGCGGAUCUGAGCCCGGAUGACUCAUUUGCGAGCCAUCCCUGUCGUCUGGAUGCCAUAACAUUGGAGGAAUGAUGACGGUUUCUUGGAGGUUCUUCUGUGGCCGGCGUAGCCAAGACGAAGACUGUAAUGGGCUUUUAGAGAAAAAGAGAAGAUCCCAAGUCCUGGCAACGUGCUACCCAACUGACAUGUCCCUGAAUUAUAUUGUGCCCCAGCUUUUUAAUUAUAUCACCCCCCCCUCUACUCUCCAGGAUCUUCUUGCAGUGAGACAGGACUUUCCUGUGGUUGUGUGCCUCACACUGGCUGGUAAGCUAUAUGUCAGCAGACAGUGUUCCGUGUGUCAUCUUUAGACAGGAUAGAAGGGACACUCUGCUUUUCUCUUUGCUACAACAUACUCUCAAGCGAUGGACUUUAUUAGCAGUGUCUGGUAAUAGCUGCCUAGGUCGACAAUAAAUAGCUUUUUAAUAGUAUGUUGUUUUGAGCUGUGAAAAAAAAAUGCAAGGAUGUCUCAAGGCCUUUUGCAGAAAAGACCGAUUUUAGGGUGAGUCUGUCUCUGCCUGGUAUGAUCAACUCGGUGCCUUCAUUAACUUCUCUGUGGGUUGUGGUCACUUAAUGACGAGUGAUGGAUGAACUCUUCAGUGAAAGGCCUUGGCUCUUGAAUCUUCCCCGACUGAAUCUGAAUUUCUUUUUAACAGCACCAAGCACUGAGCUAUAGGAUUUGAUCUUGUCUGGAUAAGUUCUCUGGGACAAGGGCCUAGACUAUUUUCUAAACUUGUGCUAUAAUAAUCUCUUUUAAGCAGUUGAUGGUUUAGAAACUGAGGCAUACACAGUAUUUUCAAGCAGAGUUUUUCAUAAUACAUGAGAGACAGAGAAAACUCAAGUGUCCCCGGACAAGCCAAAUUAGGCACUCAGUGGGAUGUUAUUCAGCCUUAAGUUUUAGCAACCCCCUGGCAUGUGUUCAAUGUAGAUGAAAUGAAAGCAGUCACACAGCAUAAAUAUCACACAGUUCCACUCCUGUGGGUAUCUAGUAGUCAAACUUAGAAACAGAGAGAAGGAAAGCUUCGAGGGCAGAGAGAGCAGGGGUUGGUGGCUCUGGUGCUGCUGUCUAACGGGUUCAGGGCUCCAGUCUUACAAGUUAGAGGAGAUGCAGUGAGUCAUUGUCCAGAAAUGAGGAGUGCUUCCCUUUGCAAGCUUGAUGCUCUGUACGCUUUGCUGAGACUUAGACAUGAUACACAGAAGAGGGGGUUGGGGAUUUAGCUCAGUGGUAGAGCGCUUGCCUAGCAAGCGAAAGACCCUGGGUUCGCUCUUCAGCUCCAAGAAAGAAAGAAAGAAAAAAGACAAAACAAAAAAAAGACCAAAAAAACCAAAACCAAAAACAAAAACAAAAAA
This is a non-coding RNA of Cricetulus griseus (Chinese hamster), 2648 nucleotides long. NCBI's taxonomy places the organism in Eukaryota, Metazoa, Chordata, Mammalia, Rodentia, Cricetidae. The record is from RefSeq and is a predicted model, not a curated record.